This 253-nucleotide ribosomal RNA is filed under the name uncultured bacterium. RNAcentral's name for it is "partial 16S ribosomal RNA". It matches the Rfam family "Bacterial small subunit ribosomal RNA", at positions 524 to 776 of the family's 1533-position model. The record is from RNAcentral.
UACGUAGGGGGCAAGCGUUAUCCGGAUUUACUGGGUGUAAAGGGAGCGUAGACGGCCAGACAAGUCUGAAGUGAAAAUCCAGCGCUUAACGUUGGAAGUGCUUUGGAAACUGCCGGGCUAGAGUGCAGGAGGGGCAGGCGGAAUUCCUAGUGUAGCGGUGAAAUGCGUAGAUAUUAGGAGGAACACCAGUGGCGAAGGCGGCCUGCUGGACUGCAACUGACGUUGAGGCUCGAAGGCGCGGGGAGCAAACAGG